AAAAAUAAUGGCUUAAUUUAUGUAAAAAAUGAUAUGUAACACAGUCACAGCAACAAAAAUCCACUACAGGUUCCUGACUUGUGACAGGCACAUACGAUUGUGAAGGGUUAAACUAGUUUGAAGGCACUAACCCUUCCCCUAACCUGGAAAAGUGGUGUAACAAUACAACAUAAUAACAAACUAUGAAAAUCAGUUGAAUUUUUUUUUUAACUCAGCUCAAGGAUACAAAUAGAAAUACAUCUAACAAAAAAAACAGAAAAUUGACAUGGAUGGGUACUGGUACAUCCCAACAUAAAAAUAGAAAAAAAACAGCCUAAUUAAUGUACAAAAAAAUGAAUGAAAAACAAAUAUUCACAGUUACUGACAGCUAGUUCAAAGCCAAUAACAACUUAUAAAAAGAAUCAUGCAUCUAAGACUGAUUUGUCAAUCAAUACACAUGCACCAUCUACUGGAUUUAGUAAACAGGUGUCAUAAAGUAAUUCAGAG
Molecule: long non-coding RNA, 486 nt
Filed under: Mytilus galloprovincialis (Mediterranean mussel)
Lineage: Eukaryota; Metazoa; Mollusca; Bivalvia; Mytilida; Mytilidae
Source: RNAcentral